UAUGUGCAUCAGAACUAUAAUAGGCCAUAGGAAGUCAGCUGAUUCCAUAGUACCUUCAGAUUAUGUAUAAUUUUAAUGUGGAGGGAAGGGA
Non-coding RNA from Candidatus Levybacteria bacterium CG2_30_37_29, 91 nucleotides. NCBI's taxonomy places the organism in Bacteria, Candidatus Levyibacteriota. The record is from Rfam.